CCCGGUGACUUGAGCGAGAGUGUUCUACCCCUUCCCAUUCCGAACAGGGUCGUAAAAGCUCUCAGCGCUGAUGGUACUCCAGGUUUGACUUGGGGGAGAGUAGGUCGUUGCCGGGA
Molecule: ribosomal RNA, 116 nt
Filed under: candidate division WWE3 bacterium CG_4_9_14_0_2_um_filter_48_10
Lineage: Bacteria; candidate division WWE3
Source: RNAcentral